This is a long non-coding RNA of Diabrotica virgifera virgifera (western corn rootworm), 7260 nucleotides long. RefSeq lists it as uncharacterized. The record is from RefSeq and is a predicted model, not a curated record. The transcript has 2 exons. Lineage: Eukaryota; Metazoa; Arthropoda; Insecta; Coleoptera; Chrysomelidae.
GGAUAGGGAUAGGAUAAUAAUUAUUAACCUGGGAACAGUCGCGCUCUUUUUUGUCACACGAUCGCGCGUUAAUUUUUGUCUAACAAUACUCGUAUCUAUUUAAAACAAAUCUUCAUUUUAUCCUCCUCAGUCCAUAAGUCCAGCCGGCUGGACAAUGUUUACUAAUUUAUUACACGGUUACUAUUCGGGUUGGGCAUCGUUGCGUCCUAUAUUGCAGCAUAUUGGACUUCCUAUUUAUCAAAUUUACUCAUUUGAAAAAUUCGACAACAGCGCCUACCUCGGUAGUUUGUUGUUACAUGUGGUGAAACUUUUUAAGUUAUGAUGACGGCUCUACAAAAAUAUAGUAAGUUGUAGUGUUUUUCUGUACUUUAAAGUAUUGACUGUUUUUACUGUAUGUUACUUGAUCAUUGGACGUAUUUGUGGUAAAUAUAUAUUUGAAAAUAAUUACAACUGGACACGUUAGCGGUCCUCUAAACUUUUUGUCCAGCAUUUUGGACAUUGGGACUGAGUUAGCCAAAUAUGUUACCAUACUCACAUUUUUUAAGUUUAGUUACAGAGAGUAAAAGGAUAUUGAUGGAAAGUGAAUUGGAGGCUAUUUUGACAGAUUACGAUUUUUUCAUCAGUGAAGAUAGCGAUAAUGAUCAAAGGAAAUAUAUUUACAGGAAUUUAAGCUGUAUGUUGGAAGGUCACUAGCUCUAGGUGGUAAGCCUGCCAGUGGGAGACAAGCUAGUGCGUCUAUUUCAAGAAAACCGGAGACAUCUGAAGAUGAGGUGCCCAUAAUUCCUGUAAAAAGAUCUACAGUUUACCAGUUACCGCCUAUAGAUGCCAUGACCAUUUGCGAAUAUGCUGUAGAAAGAAAUUUCUAUUGCCCUCAGCAAUAGAAAAUCUUAUCGCGUUGCCUAAACCGCUUGGAUGAACUAAGAAGACGAGAUUCUUUGGUACAGAAUGCAAAAUGUAUAUGUGUAUUUCUCCUCAACCAGAAUGUUUUUUCAGUUUCAUACUUAAAUUAUAUGAAACCUAAGUCCUGAUGUCCAUUAUGCUGGACAUGUCAUAUUAUGUUUGUCAAAUAAUUUUAUUAUAGUUUUUAUAGAUUUUCGUUUAUUGUUUUCACAAAUGAGAAGAGAAAAUAGAAAAUAUUUUUAAAAUAACAAAAACUUUUUUCUUGGGGCUGAAGAGGUUAUAGUAUUUUGUUUACUUUUUAUGUUAAAAACACCUAGUGCUAACAAAUAAUAAAAGAAUAUACAUUUAAAUGAAAACUCGAGAGAUAAACGAAAACGGAACGAACAUUAAAAUAAAUGAUAACAUGUACAAAGAAACGGAACAAGCACUUAAAUGUCACCACAAUAUGUAAUUCCGCUGGUAUGUUGAGAUAAUUUUUGAGCAAAGUGCAUACAGCGUUAAUUUAUGGUUAAUAUAGAGAUCGUUUAGAUAUGUAUAGAUAUUUGAGUACAAAAAGACUCUUGACACACUACUAUACUAGACAAUUAUACUUGAAAUAUUUGACCUAGAUAGGUACGUUUUCAGUCGCGUCGUUAGUAGUCCAGGAACCGAAGCUUUUCACCCUCGCAAUUUUUACAGAAUGGAUCGAUUUGCUUGAAAAUUUGAGAAUAAGUAGUGGAUAGUCCAAGGAUCAAAAUCUAUAUGAUGCCGAAGGGCGCUUUUACCAUGGGGUGGUUGCCACCUCAUCUGGGGGUGGAAAUUUUUUAUGAUAUUUUUACCACAAAAGUUGAUAAAAACAUUCAUUCUAAGCAAAAAAUGUUCUAUAUUCACGAUGUUCGAUUUAUUCGCUAUCGAAAGUGUUAUCGAAAAAAUCAAUGUUUUUCAAUAUACUUAUCUACGAUUCACUCAAUUUUUGCCGUAGAAAAAUUUUAUUCAAACCAGGUUCUUGGUAAUUAAAUAACCUACAAUUUUAUGUUUAAACAUUUUUUCGUAUCUCUAUGCUAAUCUUUCUAUUCUGAAGAAAAUGGCAUUUUUUACCAAACUACAAAAAUUCGUUAUUCGCUUUUAACUCCAGUUUUUUUAAAACUAAUUAAUCUACGCUAGUCCAACUUCUAGAAUCUAUUAAUAAUACACAAAAAAAUAAGAAUGAAUAAGGCCAAUUACUAAAAACACCACUCACUUACAUUAUUUUGGUUCUUAUGGUUCCAAUAAUUGGAUCUACCUUUUUUUUUGCAAAAAAAUAUAUUGAUUUUUUAACCGUAACUUUUUUAUUUUUUAUUUUAGAACGUUUGGUAAAAAAUAAUUUUAUACGUUUUUACAAGAUCUAUAAGUCUACUAAUAUUAAAUCUUUUUUAAAGUCCUCACUCACAAAAUGAGGUGACUUUGAAAGGGUUGGUAAAGGUGGUUUUUGCAAGUUCUUACAAGUUUUAAUUGUCAAUAGCUCACUCAAUUUUUGCUGUAGAGAAAAUUUUUGCAAACCAGGUUCUUGAGAAUUAAAUAAGCUACAAUCUCAUAUUUCAAUAUUUUUUCGUAUCUCUGAUGCUAAUUUUUCUUUUCUGAAGGAAAGACAUUUUUUCCAAACUACAAAAAUUCGUUAUUCGCUUUUAACCCCAUUUUUUUAAAAACUAAUUAUUCUAAGCCGGUCAAAUUUCUAGAACCUAUUAAUAAUACAUAAAUAAAGAAGUCCAAAUAAGGUACAGACUAAUUUUAAUUAGGGUGGUGAUUAGGAGGUUGCUAACGAUCACUUUUUCGCUGAAAAAAAUAGGGACUGACAUUCUUUUCAUUAUAAGUCACUUAAUUUUUGAGCUAGAGACUUUUUUAUUUCUGAAGAUGGAUAUUUUUAUAUACUUUAAAUUAGUUUAAACAAGUUAUCCUCGAAAAAUGCAUAGUUUUCCCGUUUUUUGAUUCUGAAACUACAAUAUUUAUCAUUUGACGAAGAAGAGCUAACAUAUAAUAAAAUAUAGCUCGAUUACUAUUGGUCUUAAAAAAAACUAAAAAGGACGGUUUUGUUUAUUUUUUCAAAUGGUACAUUUUUGUUAAGUAAAGUUGUUUUCAUAAAACAACAAUUUUUGGAGUUUAUUAGCAGAAAAUUUAAACAUUAAAAACAUUGAUUUUUUCGAUAUAAAACUAACAUUUUUGCUGGCAAAUAAAUCAAAAACUACUAUUAAUUUUAUCGAAAAAAUGUAUAGAACGUUUUUUGCUUAGAAUGAAUGUUUUUAUUAACUUCUGCGGUCAAAAUAUAAUAAAAAAUUUCCGCCCCCGAGAUGGGGUGGGAACCACCCCCAUGGUAAAAGCGCCUUUCGGCAUCAUAUAGAUUUUCAUCCUUGGACUAUCCAAUACUUAUUCUCAAAUUUUCAAGCAAAUCUAUCCAUUCUGUAAAAAUUGCGAGGUUUUGUCCUAUUUUCAGCUUCAUUACUUGGACUAUAGAUUUUAUCUCACAAAAAUCAAUGCUAUUCAUACUUAGUUAUAGUGUCCGGUACACUUUAAUAUGUGCAUUAUACACUCCUCCUCAAGACACUUGCGAGUGUAAAGCUAUGUUGCUAAAUUUUUUAUCAAAUUAUCACGGAAAAGAAUAAAAUGUUAGAUUUUUUCUUACAACGCGACCGAUCCCGGGUUAAUAAUUUAUUAUUAUAGUAUUUGUAUUAGUUCAAAAUUACCAGAUAUACAAUAUCGUGGAAGUUAAUUGGGGCAAACAAACAAACAGAUGCAUAUGGAUUUGGACAAAUUCCAUAUUGAAAUAUUUAAAAAUAUAUAUUUAAAUACAAUAAUACUGUUAGAAAUAAACAUGAUACUGUUUGACAUGUGAUUUCUUAAAUACGUUUUGGACUGAAUCUUAUUAAUUUUAGUAACUUUAUCAGUAAGCAGAUUCUUCUGAAUUGUCAUUAAAAAAUUCAUAACACAUAAUGUAGUUAGAAUGUUAGAGCAUUCCCAGUAACUAAAUAUGUUCAGGUUGCACCUAUUUGUCAAAUCUUGUUAAUUUCACAUAUUUGAAGAUUCUUAUGCAUUUUUAUUAAAAAAUGCCUUUAAUUCAGGAAAUAUAUAUGGAUAGAGCCUUCUCACUAGUAUUUUUGAGGUUGUUUGGGUUAAAUCUUGUCAAUGUAAUUAGAUUGUCCCAAUUAUUAUGCACAAUACAGUAUUUAGCCAGCCAAUAUUAGCCAUAUCUUGUUUUAGUUUUAGUGAAAAUUGUAUACUUUACUUUGCGUUUUAUUGAAAUAAAGAAAAACAGUUCACCUCGAUCCUUAAAAAGGUGUUAACCAACUUUUAUACUCAGAAGUUUCAUGUUUAUUUGGCAUGUUUCUUGUUGCUUUCCUAUUCUUUGACGUAAUCUCUUCCAUAAGGAAGAGAUUGUUCCAUUGUUAUAAAGUGAAUCACAGUUGUUUUUCUAACUACUCUUCUAUACAACUGCUUGAGUUAUAUAAGUUGUAUCUAAUCUAAACUAUAUAAUUAUUACUCAAUAACUGUUCAUGGGGGAUGAUUUUAAUCUUACAUUAUUACUCUAGAAUUCUAGAAGUAUUAUUCUCAUUUCAAGAUAGAUAUAAGAAUCAAUCAAUAGGUGUCUCAUCUGGAUUACUUUAAAUUUGUUUAUCGCAGUUUUAAUAGGACAUAAUCCAAUUGCAUAUUAUUAUGUUCAACUGUAUUUUUCUUUCGCACAACAUAACUGUCAACCAACUGCACUUUGUCAACGUUCUUUCUUAUACAUUUUCCCAUUUUCUGACAUCCCUAAAUUUUAUAUAUAUAUUGAUAAUAAAAGUUUCUUCUUUAACCCUCACUUUAAACCAUCUCUUUAAUCUGAUGAAACCUUUGAAAAUAAAUAUUUUGGAUAUUUUGUCUUUGAUCUACUAAAUGAGAAAAUUCUUGUAAAAUCUCGCUACUCAAUUUUCUGUACUAUUUUUGUCUGUUCUAACCCUAACUAUAAUUAAUAGACAUACCUCUAUAACUCUAUAUGAUGAUAAUGUGGAUACGGAUAUUAUGUAUAAGGAAAUAAAUACACAAUAAAUAUAGAUUUAACAAAUGUAUAACUCUUUAUCCUAUAUGUAGGCUUAAAACCAAUUUGUUUUUCUUAUUUUUUGCCCUGAAAAAAAAAAAAAUUAAGAAUAAGAUGUCCACAGGUUUUUUAUUUAUGUUUGCUCCAAUAAUUAGAUAUUGUUAAUUUAAAACACACUUUUUUAGUUUAAAUCGAUAUGUUUCUUUUAGGGUGUAGGUGCAAAAUUUAGGCUCCAAUGCUUUUUCAAUGCAUUAAUUUUUGUCGAAUCCUGAGAAAACUAAAAAAUAUUUUUGAAAAAUUUAAUCGCAAAAUGAAAGAAUACAUUAUUACAGACGGCCAAAAGUACCCUAGAAUUAACAAAAACCUUCUUUUGAAUGAGAUAUUUGAAAUUAAAAAUUACACUAAAUUUUCAGUAGUAAUUGCACAAGAGCUCUAAAAUUCUAUAUUAAUUUUAGAGAUGGAGUGAAAUUUGUUGCGACUAUUUCAUGAAUAAAACUGUUGAAAACCAAAAUUUUAUUGUAAUUUAUUUAUGUAAGUACAAAUUAGUACAAUUAAACACACAGUUGUUAUAAUUAUUUGACGGUUGAAAGUCAUCACUUUUAUAAUUUUUAAAACAUUAAUUGUCAUUAAUGUCACUGAAUGUAUUUUUUCUUGGCAACAAGGGCCCCUGAUGUAAUAUACUUGACGACGGGAAAUUAUCAGUAGUAAUUGCACAAGAGCUCUGAAAUUAUUGAAUGUUUCCCGAGUGACACUUUGACAGUUUUAAUUUCACGAGCCGAAGGCGAGUGAAAUUAUGUCAAAGUGUCACGAGAGCAAAAAUUAUAUAUUAAUUUCAGAGGUCGAGUGCAAUUUGUUGCGAUAAUUUCAUGAAUAAAACUGUUCAAAACCAAAAUUUUAUUGUAAUUUAUUUAUGAAAGUACCAUUAAACAUACAGUUUUUAUAAAUAUUUGACGAUUGAAAGUCAUCACUUUUAUAAUUUUUAAAACAUUAAUAAUUGUCAUCAAUGUCACUGAAUGUAUUUUUUCGUAGCAACGAAGGGCAUCUGACGUAAUAUGCUUAACGACGGGAGAUUAUCAAAAAUUAUCGAUUUAAUUCAGAUUUCUGUAGCUUUUUAUUGGUCAGAAUAUCCUAUGAAUGAAAUAAUCAGUAGUAAUUGCACAAGAGCUCUGAAAUUAUUGAAUUUUUCCCGAGUGACACUUUGACAGUUUUAAUGAGUGAAAUUAUGUCAAAAGUGUCACGAGUGCAAAAAUUCUAUAUUAAUUUUAGAGAUCGAGUGCAAUUUGUUGCCAUUAUUUCAUGAAUAAAGCUGUUCAAAACCAAAAUUUUAUUGUAAUUCAUUUAUGUAAGUACAAAUUAGUACAAUUAAACACACAGUUAUAAAUAUUUUACGGUUGAAAGUCAUCACUUUUAUAAUUUUUAAAAAAUUGUCAUGCAUGUCACUGAAUGUAUUUUUUCGUAGCAACGAAGGGCAUUUGACGUAAUAUACUUGACGACGGGAAAUUAUCAAAAAUUAUCGAUUUAAUUUAGAUUUAUGUAGCUUUCUAUUGGUCAGAAUCUCCUAUGAAUGAAAUAAUCAAAAAUUAUCGGGUAUAAUAUCACAAGAGGGUGAGAAUAAAUUGAAAAUAAUGCGACAGUUUUUCGAAAAUUUGUUGUCUGGAAAUAGAAACGAGAGCCCACAGGGCUCGAGUGGCUAUUGCUCAAUGACAACAAAUUUGAGUAAAAAUGAAGCAUUAUUUUCUUAUUUAUUCUUGCUGUCGUGUGAUAUUCGUAAGAUUAUUUUUUAAUACGUAUAUUAUGGAUAUUUUCUUAAAUGUGACAGUUGUCAAAACUAGGUAACUGGUUGCCAUUAAACAGAAACAAUCUACUUAAAAAAAUUAUAUCGGUAAUUUUCUACAGUAGAUAAUUCUCAGUAUAAUUUUAAUCUGAUUGGACAGAAUUAAACACGUGAUCAAAUAUCUUACUAUACGAUUGGAAGUUAAAAUCAUUCAAAAAUAAUCAGUUUAAUUUUUAUUUCUGUAGCUUUCUAUUGGUCAGAAGCUCCUAUGAAUAUGAAAUAUGAAUUAUGAAAUAAUCUCUUUUUUAUGCCUGUAACGUGUUAAAAUAAACGUUAUAGGAGUUUUCAGGGACUUUCGGCCCUCGGCGAUAUACGUAAUCUUUCAUAUUGCGUUUAAAUUUUUCAAAAAUGCUUAUCAGAAUUCCCAGGAUUCGAAAAAAUGAAUAGAUUUAAAAAGCAUUGAAGGUGAAAUUUUGCGACUACCUCCUAACAACUUUUUCUCUUAAGUUUAUAUGGAAUUAAAUGCAGCUGAUUGUAAUGAUAAUUAAAUUUUUACUCAAAA